CUGGGCUCGAACGGCUAGUCAACGAUCGUGGAAACACGGUUACUCCGCAAGGGGGUCUAGUCGAGGUGCUGCAUGGCUGUCGUCAGCUCGUGUCGUGAGAUGUUGGGUUAAGUCCCGCAACGAGCGCAACCCUUGUCCUGUGUUGCCAUCAUUCAGUUGGGAACUCGCAGGAGACCGCCAGCGAUAAGCUGGAGGAAGGUGGGGAUGACGUCAAGUCCUCAUGGCCUUUAUGUCCAGGGCUACACACGUGCUACAAUGGCCGGUACAAAGCGUUCCUAAGCCGCAAGGUGGAGGCAAUCGCAGAAAACCGGUCUCAGUUCGGAUUGCAGGCUGCAACUCGCCUGCAUGAAGCUGGAAUCGCUAGUAAUGCUAUAUCAGAACGAUAGCGUGAAUACGUUCCC
RNAcentral lists this ribosomal RNA (401 nucleotides) under uncultured bacterium. Its description in RNAcentral is "bacterial SSU rRNA". It matches the Rfam family "Bacterial small subunit ribosomal RNA", at positions 975 to 1375 of the family's 1533-position model. The record is from RNAcentral.